UACGUAGGGUGCGAGCGUUAAUCGGAAUUACUGGGCGUAAAGCGUGCGCAGGCGGUUUUGUAAGCCAGGUGUGAAAUCCCCGGGCUCAACCUGGGAAUGGCAUUUGGGACUGCAAGGCUGGAGUGCGGCAGAGGAGACUGGAAUUCCUGGUGUAGCAGUGAAAUGCGUAGAUAUCGGGAGGAACACCUGUGGCGAAAGCGGCUCACUGGACCACAACUGACGCUGAGGCGCGAAAGCUAGGGGAGCAAACAGG
Molecule: ribosomal RNA, 253 nt
Filed under: uncultured bacterium
Lineage: Bacteria
Description: partial 16S ribosomal RNA
Rfam family: Bacterial small subunit ribosomal RNA
Source: RNAcentral